Molecule: transfer RNA, 76 nt
Filed under: Pantanalinema rosaneae CENA516
Lineage: Bacteria; Bacillati; Cyanobacteriota; Cyanophyceae; Leptolyngbyales; Leptolyngbyaceae
Also listed under: 5 other names
Description: tRNA-Lys
Rfam family: tRNA
About the family: Transfer RNA (tRNA) molecules are approximately 80 nucleotides in length. Their secondary structure includes four short double-helical elements and three loops (D, anti-codon, and T loops). Further hydrogen bonds mediate the characteristic L-shaped molecular structure. tRNAs have two regions of fundamental functional importance: the anti-codon, which is responsible for specific mRNA codon recognition, and the 3' end, to which the tRNAs corresponding amino acid is attached (by aminoacyl-tRNA synthetases). tRNAs cope with the degeneracy of the genetic code in two manners: having more than one tRNA (with a specific anti-codon) for a particular amino acid; and 'wobble' base-pairing, i.e. permitting non-standard base-pairing at the 3rd anti-codon position.
Source: RNAcentral
GGGUCGUUAGCUCAACGGUUAGAGUGGCUGCCUUUUAAGCAGACAGAUCAGAGUUCAAAUCUCUGGCGACCCACCA